RNAcentral lists this ribosomal RNA (280 nucleotides) under uncultured bacterium. RNAcentral's name for it is "partial 16S ribosomal RNA". It matches the Rfam family "Bacterial small subunit ribosomal RNA", at positions 338 to 634 of the family's 1533-position model. The record is from RNAcentral.
CCUACGGGAGGCAGCAGUGGGGAAUCUUGCGCAAUGGGCGAAAGCCUGACGCAGCAACGCCGCGUGCGGGAUGACGGCCUUCGUGGUUGUAAACCGCUUUCAGCAGGGACGAAACUGACGGUACCUGCAGAAGAAGCCCCGGCUAACUACGUGCCAGCAGCCGCGGUAAUACGUAGGGGGCGAGCGUUGUCCGGAUUCAUUGGGCGUAAAGAGCUCGUAGGCGGUUCAGUAAGUCGGGUGUGAAAGCUCCGAGCUCAACUCGGAGAGGCCACCCGAUACU